This 228-nucleotide long non-coding RNA is filed under the name Cottoperca gobio. RNAcentral describes it as "lncRNA (ENSCGOG00000020239.1)". The record is from RNAcentral. Lineage: Eukaryota; Metazoa; Chordata; Actinopteri; Perciformes; Bovichtidae.
UGCAGUCCGACAGCUGGAGGUGGAGCAUUCGGCUAAGAUCGUUAUAGAAACGCUGCCAGAGUCCAACGAGCAACUGCCCAAUAUCCAGGAGGAGGAAAACGAGGACGACCCAGAGAGCCUGAUGGACGUCCGUCUGGCUGAAGACGACGUCACUCCUUCAUCAACAGACGUGGAGCCAGCAUCGGAGAGGAGAGACCCGGAGAGUCCGAUCCCCCAAACAAUCACCCA